Molecule: ribosomal RNA, 465 nt
Filed under: Vreelandella stevensii
Lineage: Bacteria; Pseudomonadati; Pseudomonadota; Gammaproteobacteria; Oceanospirillales; Halomonadaceae
Description: partial 16S ribosomal RNA
Rfam family: Bacterial small subunit ribosomal RNA
Source: RNAcentral
CCUACGGGUGGCAGCAGUGGGGAAUAUUGGACAAUGGGCGAAAGCCUGAUCCAGCCAUGCCGCGUGUGUGAAGAAGGCCUUCGGGUUGUAAAGCACUUUCAGUGGGGAAGAAAGCCUUGGGGCUAAUACCCUCGAGGAAGGACAUCACCCACAGAAGAAGCACCGGCUAACUCCGUGCCAGCAGCCGCGGUAAUACGGAGGGUGCGAGCGUUAAUCGGAAUUACUGGGCGUAAAGCGCGCGUAGGCGGUCUGAUAAGCCGGUUGUGAAAGCCCCGGGCUCAACCUGGGAACGGCAUCCGGAACUGUCAGGCUAGAGGGCAGGAGAGGAAGGUAGAAUUCCCGGUGUAGCGGUGAAAUGCGUAGAGAUCGGGAGGAAUACCAGUGGCGAAGGCGGCCUUCUGGACUGACACUGACGCUGAGGUGCGAAAGCGUGGGUAGCAAACAGGAUUAGAUACCCUAGUAGUC